Molecule: ribosomal RNA, 636 nt
Filed under: Bacillus inaquosorum
Lineage: Bacteria; Bacillati; Bacillota; Bacilli; Caryophanales; Bacillaceae
Description: bacterial SSU rRNA
Rfam family: Bacterial small subunit ribosomal RNA
Source: RNAcentral
GCCGCGUGAGUGAUGAAGGUUUUCGGAUCGUAAAGCUCUGUUGUUAGGGAAGAACAAGUACCGUUCGAAUAGGGCGGUACCUUGACGGUACCUAACCAGAAAGCCACGGCUAACUACGUGCCAGCAGCCGCGGUAAUACGUAGGUGGCAAGCGUUGUCCGGAAUUAUUGGGCGUAAAGGGCUCGCAGGCGGUUUCUUAAGUCUGAUGUGAAAGCCCCCGGCUCAACCGGGGAGGGUCAUUGGAAACUGGGGAACUUGAGUGCAGAAGAGGAGAGUGGAAUUCCACGUGUAGCGGUGAAAUGCGUAGAGAUGUGGAGGAACACCAGUGGCGAAGGCGACUCUCUGGUCUGUAACUGACGCUGAGGAGCGAAAGCGUGGGGAGCGAACAGGAUUAGAUACCCUGGUAGUCCACGCCGUAAACGAUGAGUGCUAAGUGUUAGGGGGUUUCCGCCCCUUAGUGCUGCAGCUAACGCAUUAAGCACUCCGCCUGGGGAGUACGGUCGCAAGACUGAAACUCAAAGGAAUUGACGGGGGCCCGCACAAGCGGUGGAGCAUGUGGUUUAAUUCGAAGCAACGCGAAGAACCUUACCAGGUCUUGACAUCCUCUGACAAUCCUAGAGAUAGGACGUCCCCCUUC